RNAcentral lists this transfer RNA (72 nucleotides) under Ailuropoda melanoleuca (giant panda). It matches the Rfam family "tRNA". Rfam says of the family: Transfer RNA (tRNA) molecules are approximately 80 nucleotides in length. The record is from Rfam by way of RNAcentral. Lineage: Eukaryota; Metazoa; Chordata; Mammalia; Carnivora; Ursidae.
GCCUGGCUGGCUCAGUUGGUAGAGCAUGCGACUCUUGAUCUCAGGAUAGUGGUUCAAGCCCCACGUUGGGUG